CCUUAUUUCUUCUCCCCCCCAGGCAACCGAUGCCCUAUUCCUCUAAGUUUUCUCCCGCCCCUCCCCACGCCAUCCGCCAACUGUCGAACUAUCAGCACCUCACUUAGCUGGAGAGAGUCUUCUUCUUCCAUGGGAAUGUUCUCUCUCUGCUUGGUGUCUCGCGCUCGCUUUCUCAAGGUUCAGUAAACACUGAUCGAAGGAUGAAGGGUGAAAAAACAAAGUUUGAAUUUUGAUUGAAUGGACCCUUACUAGUUACUAUGCCUUUGUCUACAAAUAGCACGCCACAUUAUUCGGGAUUGAGAGCCUUAAGCUUGAAUGGCCAUUGUAUGGUUGUAUA
This is a long non-coding RNA of Juglans microcarpa x Juglans regia, 337 nucleotides long. RefSeq lists it as uncharacterized. The transcript has 3 exons. Lineage: Eukaryota; Viridiplantae; Streptophyta; Magnoliopsida; Fagales; Juglandaceae. The record is from RefSeq and is a predicted model, not a curated record.